AACGCACAUUGCGCCCUCCGGUACUCCGGGGGGCAUACCUGUUCGAGCGCCGUUGUACUACUAAGGCUCAGCCUUGCGGUGGCCGACGCCUUUUCCACCAGUUUUUCUGGAUGGGAAGAGGUGCGGUCGAAACCCAUGGGCGCGUCCUCGCAGUCGUCCAGCGUAGCAAGUCUCUCGCUGAACGUGCCGGGGAGGAGGCGCCAAUUGUAUACACGAACGCUUGGCCUCGAAUCAGGUAGGGAUACCCGCUGAACUUAA
RNAcentral lists this unclassified non-coding RNA (258 nucleotides) under uncultured fungus. Its description in RNAcentral is "partial contains 5.8S ribosomal RNA, internal transcribed spacer 2, and large subunit ribosomal RNA". The record is from RNAcentral. Lineage: Eukaryota; Fungi.